This 500-nucleotide ribosomal RNA is filed under the name uncultured bacterium. RNAcentral's name for it is "partial 16S ribosomal RNA". It matches the Rfam family "Bacterial small subunit ribosomal RNA", at positions 30 to 523 of the family's 1533-position model. The record is from RNAcentral.
AUUGAACGCUGGCGGCAUGCCUUACACAUGCAAGUCGAACGGUAACGCGGGGGCAACCCUGGCGACGAGUGGCGAACGGGUGAGUAAUACAUCGGAACAUAUCCAGUAGCGGGGGAUAACCUAUCGAAAGAUUGGCUAAUACCGCAUACGAUCUACGGAUGAAAGCGGGGGACCGCAAGGCCUCGCACUAUUGGAGUGGCCGAUGUCAGAUUAGCUAGUUGGUGGGGUAAAAGCCUACCAAGGCGACGAUCUGUAGCUGGUCUGAGAGGACGAUCAGCCACACUGGAACUGAGACACGGUCCAGACUCCUACGGGAGGCAGCAGUGGGGAAUUUUGGACAAUGGGCGCAAGCCUGAUCCAGCCAUGCCGCGUGAGUGAAGAAGGCCUUCGGGUUGUAAAGCUCUUUCGGUGAAGACGAAACGGUUAGCGCUAAUAACGCUGACUAAUGACGGUACUCACAGAAGAAGCACCGGCUAACUACGUGCCAGCAGCCGCGGUAA